CAACCCUGGUGACAGCACUGAGCCUUCCCUGGGUGGCAGCAGUGUGGUGUUCAGGUGCUUUGCAGCACCAGAAGCCAACUCCCAGCCUCCACAGCUGCUGCCAGUGCAUCUCCCAGCACUUUUGGGUUUCCCUGAGCCCUCUGGGGUUUCGAAGGCAUCUCCAGGAGCUGUUGGGUGACUCACCAGAUGGAUGUGAACACAGCACAGACCCUCAAAUGCUCUCACCUAGUACCUGAACAACAGCCCUUCAGUAACUGCUGCUCAUCUCCCCCGCCUGGAUCUCAGGAAAACAGACUCAGCUCCAGCCCUGGUUACCUGGAGAUGCUGAAAGCAGAUUCAGAUGCAAGGUGUAUUGAACCCAGACACAAGUUCACCCCAAAUUUGGCAAGUUAG
RNAcentral lists this long non-coding RNA (393 nucleotides) under Taeniopygia guttata (zebra finch). RNAcentral's name for it is "lncRNA (ENSTGUG00000023477.1)". The record is from RNAcentral. Lineage: Eukaryota; Metazoa; Chordata; Aves; Passeriformes; Estrildidae.